UACGGGGGGAGCAAGCGUUGUUCGGAUUUACUGGGCGUAAAGGGCGCGUAGGCGGCCAGCACAAGUCAGUUGUGAAAUCUCCGAGCUUAACUCGGAAAGGUCAACUGAUACUGUGCGGCUAGAGUGCAGAAGGGGCAACUGGAAUUCUUGGUGUAGCGGUGAAAUGCGUAGAUAUCAGGAGGAAUACCGGUGGCGAAAGCGACUCUCUGGACGGCAACUGACGCUGAGGCACGAAAGCGUGGGGAGCAAACAGG
This 254-nucleotide ribosomal RNA is filed under the name uncultured bacterium. Its description in RNAcentral is "partial 16S ribosomal RNA". It matches the Rfam family "Bacterial small subunit ribosomal RNA", at positions 524 to 776 of the family's 1533-position model. The record is from RNAcentral.